AAAAUAGCCCUUUAAGCCCAAAUCUAAAGUAAAAUUAAAGUUAAUGUAAAAGACAAAAGACCACCGAAAGGUCAGGCUUCAUUAUCCCGCUCAUUUUUUGGUUAAUCUGCAAAAUCUGCAGCCAAGUGAAUUUCGUUUCUAGGCAGGCACCAAAGAUAACAAUAAACCCCGAAACUAAUGAAAAGACAAACUCUGCGCCGGAGGAAAAUCCACUUGGCGGAACUAAAGUGUGAUGUGUAACUGCGUACAGGCGGCAGUUAUGGCAGCGCCAGAAGAUGCAAAUGAAAAUUGCAGGAGGCACCGAAGGACCUUCGAACCCCACCCCCCACCCCCUUUGCACAUUUCCUGCUCAUUUUCGCCGGGGGAGUUGCCAGUUAAGAUUUUCGCCUCGUUGCAGGGAUCUUUGAAGGAGCGACAGGAGCUCAAGUUGAGUGCUGCAUUUCGGCUUCAUUGCAUCUCGGUGAGCACACAGUGGGCGAUAGAGGUCUGCUGUGAACGGAUGGCAAGGGGAAAGGACAUUAAAAGGUAGCAGGGGCGGUGCAUUUCAAGGGAAAAAAGCACAAUAAAUCCCUACCCUUGUAGUAGUUGUAUAA
Molecule: non-coding RNA, 593 nt
Organism: Drosophila melanogaster (fruit fly)
Lineage: Eukaryota; Metazoa; Arthropoda; Insecta; Diptera; Drosophilidae
Source: Ensembl